Molecule: ribosomal RNA, 417 nt
Filed under: uncultured bacterium
Lineage: Bacteria
Description: bacterial SSU rRNA
Rfam family: Bacterial small subunit ribosomal RNA
Source: RNAcentral
GGACCCGCACAAGCGGUGGAGCAUGUGGUUUAAUUCGAUGCAACGCGAAGAACCUUACCUGGUCUUGACAUCCUGCGAACUUUCUAGAAAUAGAUUGGUGCCUUCGGGAACGCAGUGACAGGUGCUGCAUGGCUGUCGUCAGCUCGUGUCGUGAGAUGUUGGGUUAAGUCCCGUAACGAGCGCAACCCCUAUCCUUAUUUGCCAGCACAUCAUGGUGGGAACUAUAAGGAGACUGCCGGUGAUAAACCGGAGGAAGGCGGGGACGACGUCAAGUCAUCAUGGCCCUUACGACCAGGGCUACACACGUGCUACAAUGGGAAGGACAAAGAGCCGCGAAGCCGCGAGGUGUAGCUAAUCUCAGAAAACGUCUCGUAGUCCGGAUUGGAGUCUGCAACUCGACUCCAUGAAGUCGGAAUC